Molecule: long non-coding RNA, 5502 nt
Organism: Equus asinus (donkey)
Lineage: Eukaryota; Metazoa; Chordata; Mammalia; Perissodactyla; Equidae
Source: Ensembl
AGUCAUAUUGGCUCACUCUAAUGAUCUCAUUCUGAUCUGAUUACCUAAGACCCUAUUUCCAAAAGGGUCACAUUCUGUACUGGGGGUUAGGAUGUCAGCAUAUCUUCUUUGGGGGAAAACAAUCCAUAACACAUACAUAUAAUUUCAUACAAGGCAUAAAUAUGAUGAUAUGCAUCGAUUUUAUUUUAAGUGAACAUUGUGUCUUACUUUUUUUUAUUUGGCUCUGUCCCUCCCUUCUCUCUCCACCAGCAUGUGGUAUUAUGGCUCUUUCUGCCAGUCUAACUGUGAACUGGUGUUUUAUUGUUCGCUUUAAUUUGACUUUCUCUGACAACUAGUGAAUUUAAACAUCUCAAAUGUUUAUUGGCUUGUUGGCCAUUUGAAUUUAUUCCUCAUUGAAUUGUUCGUUUGUAUCCUUUGAGCACUUUGCUGUCAUUUUGUCUUUUUCUCAUCAAAUUUAAGAAUUUGUAUUGUAUGUAUAAACUUUGUCACUUGUGUUACAAAUCUACAAAUGUGUCCUUAUUAUUGACCUAUUGACUUUAUCAUUUUAAAAAUCAAAUAUAUUUUCCUUCAUACCUCCUGGUCUUGGUUUUAAAUGCUCUCCCAAUCCUAGAAUGGACACGUAGCCUACCAGAUUUUUAAACAGUCCCUUCAUUGCUGUAUUUUUUACAUCUAAAUAUUUAACCUGUUUGAAAUGGAUUUUGCCAUAUAGUAUAAGGUGGGAGUUCAAGUUCAUCUUCUUCCAAGUGGAGAGCUGGGCAGUACUGUCUGUUAUCUAUUACAUCUUUUCUCUGUUGUUAUAUAUUAAAUUCUCAUUCAUAUCGGGAUUUGUCUCUGGGUCUUUCUAGCAGCCAAUUCAGAGAGGAAACACGAAAGACUGGAAGGGUCCCUGACAUCUUAGCCAUGGUAGGUAGCUUUGGGGUGGUGACCAUUUAGGUGACUUAUUUACUUUUCAUUUUGCUGGGCUGUAUAUUCCGAUUUUUCCUUUAACAAGCAUGUGUUACUGGUUUCACAAAAACAGAUAAAGGGGAAAAAACAGUAAACCCACUAGUUUCGUCAUUCAUAGUGUCCUAGGACAAAAACCAACUGCAUCUAGGGAGCAGGACUACUAUUCCUGGAAUAGAGACCUGAGAAGGGUUUCCCUGGGGACACACACAUACCUAAUAGGGCUGUUCCCGGCAGACCCUGGACAGUCUAUUUAAAGACCCUUUUGCCCUGAGGUGGGGCUGAUUAACUGUUGGGAAGUCCUUUCCUGCGGCCAGCUCAUUGUGAAGUAGCUGGUGAGGGGGUGCUUUCAAGCGUGAUUGGCAGUUCUCGCGUGUUCCAGGGCAAUGAGUUUAAUUGGAAGAGCAGGUUGCUCCAGAGCUGAUGCAAUAACCACCAGGGCUGAGUGUUCUGUCCGAAUGUGUGAAGUGAUGCAAUAAUUGCCUGCGUUAAGCAGCAGCUGAAUUACUGGCAGGAAUUUAAAUGCUUCAAACACUUCUUUGAAUUGGUGAUUAGAGGGCGCAUUCAAAUGAUAGCAGAGUGACCGGAUCCCCAUAACCCCAGGGCACAGCGUCUGUCCCUAAGUGAUAAGGGUCAGUUAGAGCCAUAAAGUCUCAUAAAACUGUCCCAGGGCGCUAAUGAAAGCCCUGCAGUAAAUUUGCAGGGGCCUGGUUGUCAACUGCUUAAAAUAAUGACAGCAGUGGGGUCCCCUCCCAGUGCAAAGUGACCACCAGCAGCUCGGCCCAAAUUAACCCCGACUGACUCCCCAGGCUUCUCCACCCCAGGCCAUGGUGCCUCACCCUAGGGGAGGUCAAAGUGUGAGGGCUGGGCCAAAUCCUUCCACUCCUCCUGCCAGGCCUGGGACCUGGGGGGUAGCGCUGUCUGCAGACACUUGGAGGAACCCUCACGGUCCAAGCCCGCUUAUGGUUUAUAUACUGAGAAGGGAGUCUCCCAGGAGAAAAUCCGGAGGAGAGAAGAGGAGUUCAUAGCCCCAAACAUUUUUCAUCAUCAUUGCAGUAGGGCGUCAAUCUGCCAUCUGUAAACCCAGACUGUAAAGUGGACCUAGCUGUCUUUAUUGUUUCUGAUUUGAAUUAAUUUCUGGCUGAAACCUACAUUCCACUGACUGUUGGGAAAUGUUACCAUUGGGUUCCUUCCCUUACCUCCGUGAUGUGCCAUAGUUCUGGGAUCCUACAAAGUGCUGACCUGUCUAGAUUGGAAUGUCCAGGUGACCACUGAGGCAUCUACUGUCCAGGUCCACGUGGGGCCGUGGUCUGGUGGGUCUCUGCUGCUUGUGUCCCACACUUGAGGCACAGAAUUCUUUGACUAGGCUGCCUGGCCCUUCUGCCUGGAUGCACCAUGCACCACUCCUCUGGGGUCCUGCUGCCCCCCAGUACUCCCCACCGCCUGGUCUCUGCCAUGCCUGGACGCACAGUCCUCUUUCCUCUCCUCCUAAGCUGGAAGGAGCCAUCUUUUCCCAGGAUGGGAGUGAAACUCCAAACUCAACUUGGCUCCUUCAAGAUAUCCCGUUUCUAUCAGCAAGGCCUGUUCUCCCUCUUAACUCUUCCCAGACCCCGAGGAAUCACUUGCGGGAGACAAAAGCCAGAAGGACUGUGGAUGACUUCUGCCUUUCAGCCUGCUCCCACCUCGUGAGGCAAGAAGCACAGAUUUCAGAACACCGAGUGGAAGGCAUCAGGGAAUUCAUAGUUCCGUCAGAGAGAAGGUGCAAAUUCUGAAGUACUUGGCAUUUACAAAUGGAUUGUUUCAAACCCACACUGGUCAAUCAAUUGUUUGGAAUUUGAAAUGUAUUUUUUUUUUUUUCAAAAAAAUGUUAUAAACACUGGUUUGCUUUCCAGGCAAGCCCAGAGAUACUAUGGUGAAAACAAAACUUUUUAUUUCUCUUAAUACCAUUGGAACAGAGAAGAAAUGCUAACAAAGUCAUAGCUUCAAUCAUAUUUGUUUAGUUUUGUUUGAGAUCUGAAGAAAUAGUUUGGAUUUUUCAAAGGUUUUAGACGCUUAGGGAAUCAGCUGCUUGUGUUAUGUCCAUUUUUACUUCCUUCUUUCUUCUUGAUACUAUAGUCAGUGCCAAUAAUGUUGGGGAUGUCAGCUACAAUCAUAGGCAAGGGAGACAGGGCUCAAAAACACCAGAAACAGAAUGGGAAAAUUUUGAGAGAAACUGAGGUAUCUUACAGGAAAUUAAAGAGAAACGGGAAGGAGAAAAGGAGUCAAAGUGAAGGGUGUGCUUGUGAUAAGGAGGUUCCUCGAGGUGUAGUUAAUGGACUUGAGAAAUGAGGAAGACGUGCAGAAUCACUCCAAGGAGGAGGCAGGAGAGAAGUGUGCAGAAAUCAAAACCCAAACGCCUUCAGGGCCCAGACAGGUACAGGAAAGGAGCAGGCUGGGGAUGAAAGAAAGGGAAAUAGUGGGGAGCGUGGCAAACCAGAGUUCAGGAAAUUCUAAUUUGAUUUUUUGUAAAACAUCAGUGUGAGCCUAACCAAAUACCGCUGCAAGCUGAGUUGUAUCUGUUGGCCACCUUUCAGAAUCUUUGGCAAAGAGAUUAAAAGCAGGAGAUCUGGAGUCAGACUGCCUGGGUUCAUCACCUGCUUCACCACUUAGUGGUCUGUGACCUCACUUUCCUCGUCUGUAUACCGAUUUUUCUGACUUCAUAGGAUUGUUGUGAAGUAUGACAACAUAGGUGAGAGGCUGGCCCCAUGGCUGAACGGUUAAGUUCUCGUGCUCCAUUUCAGCGGCCCAGGGUUUCGCCGGUUCGGAUCCUGGGCACAGACAUGGCACCGUUCAUCAGGCCAUGUUGAGGUGGCGUCCCACAUAGCACAGCCAGAAGGACCUACAGCUAGAUUAUACAACUAUGUGCUGGGCGGCUUUGGGGAGAUGAAGAAAAAGGAUUGGCAACAGAUGUUAGCUCAGGUGCCAAUCUUUGGGGAAAAAAAAAAAAGGAAACUUAAAAAAAAAGAAGAUAACACGGGUGAAGUGCUUUGCACAGGGCACAGUAAGCCUCCAAUAAAUGCUCAGUAAGCAUCCACUAGAACAUAAUCCCCUGGACAGUCUGUUUGUUGCUGGAUCCCCAAUGCCUACAAUAGUGCCUGGCACAUAGUAGGUACUCACUAAAUAUUUGUUAGAUGACUGAAUAGAUGGGCGAAGGGAAAAGAAGGCAAUUAUAGGGAAGAGAUGCAGGGUCAUAAGAGUUCUCCACACUGACCGUGAGACAGCUCAGGUUAGAGGGGUUGCUGAGCUAUGUUUUAAGGAGUAUAGAGUAUCAUCUCCCGAACUCAAAAACUUUUAGAACUAGAAGGCAAUGAGUCUUUCUUCUGGUCUUUGAUGGUUAAUUUUAUAUGUCAACUCAACCAAGACUCGGGAUGCCUAGAUAUCUUAUGAAACAGUAUUUCUGAGUGUGUUCACAGAGGGUGUUUCUGGAGAGAUUCGCAUUUCAAUCAGUAGACUGAGUAAAGAAGAUUGCCCUCCCCACUGUGGGGGGCAUCGUCCUAUCUGUCGAGGGCCUGAAUAGAACAAAAAUGUGAAGAAGGUUGAAUUUGCUCUCUGCUUGACUGCGUGAGCUGCAACAUCAACCUUCUCCCGCCCUCAGUGCUCCUUCUCAGGCCUGUAGAUGAAGACUGGAACCCACACCAUCAGCUCUCUGGCUCUCAAGCCUUCGAACUACAUCACCAGCUUUCCUGGGUCUCCAGCUUGCAGAUGGCAACUGGUGGGCUUCUCAGCAUCCAUAGUCAUGUGAGCCAAUACCUCAUAACGCGUCUUCCCAAAUUUUUAUAUAUUUUGUAUGCACACCCACACAUCCUACUGGUUGUGUUUCUCUGGAGAACCCUGACUAAUACGCUGUCUGACCCUUUCGUUUAACACAUCAGGAAACCAAGAUACAAAGAGACUAAGCCAGGUGUGCAAACCAGGUAGCCAUAAACAAGAAAGUCACUGUUUUGGUAUGUUUGUGUACAUGUGAUUUCGCAAGAGAGAAAUGCAAAUCAAAACCACGAUGAGAUAUCACCUCACCCCUCUUGAAUGGCUGUUAUCAGAAAUAUAAGAAGUAAGUGUUGUUGAGGAUGUGGAGAAAAGGCAACCUGCAAGCACUGUUGCUGGGAAUGCAAAUUGGUGCAGCCACUGUGGAAAACACUAUGGAGCUUCCUCAAAAAAUUAAAAAUUGAAAUACCGUAUGAUCCUGCAAUUCUACUUCUGGGUAUUUAUCUGAAGAAAAUGAGAACACCAACUUGAAAAGAUAUACGCACCCACAUGUUCACUGCAGCAUUAUUUACAACAGCCAAGACAUGGAAACAACCUAAGUAUCCAUUGAUGGAUAUAUACAUACCCACACACACACUGCAAUAUUAUUCAGCCGUAUGAAAUCUUGCCAUUUGCAACAACAUGAACGGACCUCGAGGGCAUUAUGCUAAGUGAAAUAAGUCAGAGAAAGACAAAUACCAUAUAAUCCCUCUCAUACAUGGAAUUUAAAGAAACUAAAAAAAACAACAAACAAGCUCAUAGAUACAGAGAACAGAUUGG